CGAACGCUGGCGGCGUGCUUAACACAUGCAAGUCGAACGGAAGGGCCUCUUUCGGGGGGUACUCGAGUGGCGAACGGGUGAGUAACACGUGAGUAACCUGCCCUUGACUUUGGGAUAACUUCAGGAAACUGGGGCUAAUACCGGAUAGGAGCUCCUGCUGCAUGGUGGGGGUUGGAAAGUUUCGGCGGUUGGGGAUGGACUCGCGGCUUAUCAGCUUGUUGGUGGGGUAGUGGCUUACCAAGGCUUUGACGGGUAGCCGGCCUGAGAGGGUGACCGGCCACAUUGGGACUGAGAUACGGCCCAGACUCCUACGGGAGGCAGCAGUGGGGAAUAUUGCACAAUGGGUGGAAGCCUGAUGCAGCAACGCCGUGUGCGGGAUGACGGCCUUCGGGUUGUAAACCGCUUUCGCUCAUGACGAAGCUUUGUGUGACGGUAGUGGGUAAAGAAGCACCGGCUAACUACGUG
RNAcentral lists this ribosomal RNA (465 nucleotides) under uncultured bacterium. Its description in RNAcentral is "partial 16S ribosomal RNA". It matches the Rfam family "Bacterial small subunit ribosomal RNA", at positions 30 to 507 of the family's 1533-position model. The record is from RNAcentral.